CCUACGGGAGGCAGCAGUGGGGAAUAUUGGACAAUGGGGGGAACCCUGAUCCAGCCAUGCCGCGUGUGUGAAGAAGGCCCUCGGGUUGUAAAGCACUUUCAGUGAGGAAGAACGCCUGGUGGUUAAUACCCAUCAGGAAAGACAUCACUCACAGAAGAAGCACCGGCUAACUCCGUGCCAGCAGCCGCGGUAAUACGGAGGGUGCGAGCGUUAAUCGGAAUUACUGGGCGUAAAGCGCGCGUAGGUGGCUUGAUAAGCCGGUUGUGAAAGCCCCGGGCUCAACCUGGGAACGGCAUCCGGAACUGUCAAGCUAGGGUGCAGGAGAGGAAGGUAGAAUUCCCGGUGUAGCGGUGAAAUGCGUAGAGAUCGGGAGGAAUACCAGUGGCGAAGGCGGCCUUCUGGACUGACACUGACACUGAGGUGCGAAAGCGUGGGUAGCAAACAGGAUUAGAUACACGUGUAGUC
This 465-nucleotide ribosomal RNA is filed under the name Vreelandella stevensii. RNAcentral's name for it is "partial 16S ribosomal RNA". It matches the Rfam family "Bacterial small subunit ribosomal RNA", at positions 338 to 795 of the family's 1533-position model. Lineage: Bacteria; Pseudomonadati; Pseudomonadota; Gammaproteobacteria; Oceanospirillales; Halomonadaceae. The record is from RNAcentral.